Molecule: ribosomal RNA, 253 nt
Filed under: uncultured bacterium
Lineage: Bacteria
Description: partial 16S ribosomal RNA
Rfam family: Bacterial small subunit ribosomal RNA
Source: RNAcentral
UACGUAGGGGGCGAGCGUUGUCCGGAAUCAUUGGGCGUAAAGCGCGUGUAGGCGGCUCGAUAAGUCUGCUGUGAAAGUCCAGGGCUCAACCCUGGAAUGCCGGUGGAAACUGUUGAGCUUGAGUCCGGAAGAGGCGAGUGGAAUUCCUGGUGUAGCGGUGAAAUGCGCAGAUAUCAGGAGGAACACCAAUGGCGAAGGCAGCUCGCUGGGACGGUACUGACGCUGAGACGCGAAAGCGUGGGGAGCAAACAGG